AUGUUUAGCCCAGCAUCUGGCUCCUAAGCGGUGCCAUGUGGCCAGUCAGUGAUAAAUGAUGGGAGACAGUAUAUGGUAUGUCCAAAAGGAGUGACAGAAAGUGUGGAGGGAAUUUGGACUCACAUUGAUAGUCACUGCAAUGGGGCCUAAACAUGCUAAGCACCUUCCACACGAGAGGUAUAGAGAGCCAGCAAAAGCUCGACUCUUCCAUCUAACAAGCACCACAAACCUAGAGUCAUGCUCUACUUUUUUGGAGAAAACAUGUUGGCUUCCCACUGAGCCUGCCAUCAUGAGGCACAAUAGUGGGCAUCUUGGUGGUUUGCUAAUAAUAACAGCUGAUAUUUAUAGAAGGCUCACUGUGGAUCCAGAACUUUACUGAAAAUUCUACAAGAACUGUAUCUCUCAGUCCUCACAUCAACACUAUGAGGAAGGAACUACUGUUACCCCUGCUUUACAGGUGGGGAAAUGAGGCCCAGAUACCAAGUAGCUGUACUAAAAGCACAGAGAUUUAACCUCCUGGACCUUAUUCACCAGAACGCAAGCCAAACCUCCAUAUACAUUUUACUUACUUCCCAAAAUUUUAUGUGUACAUCAAGAGCUGAUCAUAAAUAGAAGGUCAAAGUGACCUAUUGUGACAUCAAAUCUUGGAGCCACUUUAAUGUGACUUCACUAAAUUGCCUUCGUCCAGUGCCUCACAGACAGCAUCCCAGCACAUCAUGGAGAGCUAAGUGACAGAACAGGCAGCUCCUCUUCUCCCUGGAGGGGAGAACAGAGAUGGAUUUCUAUCAAAAGGAGCCACUAUGUGCUGUUACAUGCCAUAUACAUGACAUGGGCAGUGUUUAAUCAUUCCCUUUGCAAAGGAUCCCCAAAUUGGGAGAGGCUGGAUGGAUGACUAAGUCAAGUUGGUGCAAAAUGAGUCACGUUUCUUGAAGGUCACUUCCCCAAAUGUAUGAGCCACCAAAGGGAAAGGAAAACUAUUUCUUAAGGUUCUAAGAAUUAAGUAGCAUGAAAUCCAAAUCUAAAAUCAUUGUCUCCAUGCUUCAUUGAAGAAAAUGAACGUGAAAAAAUCCAAUAGCAGCUGCAAACCAUUUAAGAAUUCCUAGUUAAACUGCAAAAUACAUUUUCAACCAUUUAGCCAUAACAACUUCUAAACGGAGAAAGUUGCUUCUUUAUAUAAACCACCUCUGUUUACCAAACAUCAGAGAAUCUCCGGGCAGAGGGCUACUGCAGGAUGGGAAUAGUAAGAGAAUGUUACAACCCAUGAGGUGCUGAUCUGCACACACCACCGUGAGGAAAUACCUUAAGUGAUUAAAGACAAACGCCACCUGCAUGCUUGGCAAAGGAGUCCACUGCUAUCGCCACACACUCUCCCCAGUGAGAGAGGGGAAACGAUGGACUGAAGUCCCACAGUGGAUUAGAACUGGGCACAAAAGGAGCCAGGAACAGAAGAUGGCAGCAUAGGAAGGGAAUGUUAUGCUUUGCCCCAGCUGGGGACUCUGGCAGUAUUAUCACUUAGGCAUCCUGAAGCCCAAACUCAAGAAUAAAGAAUUAAAAUUUCAUAUCUUCUUUGACUUAGUAUCCAGAAAAUUUUGUUGAAU
RNAcentral lists this long non-coding RNA (1598 nucleotides) under Homo sapiens (human). Its description in RNAcentral is "HSALNT0322557". The record is from RNAcentral. Lineage: Eukaryota; Metazoa; Chordata; Mammalia; Primates; Hominidae.